RNAcentral lists this transfer RNA (85 nucleotides) under Glutinoglossum americanum. RNAcentral describes it as "tRNA-Tyr". It matches the Rfam family "tRNA". Rfam says of the family: Transfer RNA (tRNA) molecules are approximately 80 nucleotides in length. Their secondary structure includes four short double-helical elements and three loops (D, anti-codon, and T loops). The record is from RNAcentral. Lineage: Eukaryota; Fungi; Ascomycota; Geoglossomycetes; Geoglossales; Geoglossaceae.
AGGAAGGUUCCGUGUGUUGGUUAACGGGUUGAGCUGUAAACUCAAUAACAUUAAGUUACCGAAGGUUCAAUUCCUUUUCUUCCUA